RNAcentral lists this transfer RNA (92 nucleotides) under Candidatus Moduliflexus flocculans. RNAcentral's name for it is "tRNA-Pro(cgg)". Lineage: Bacteria; Candidatus Moduliflexota; Candidatus Moduliflexia; Candidatus Moduliflexales; Candidatus Moduliflexaceae. The record is from RNAcentral.
AAAUGGUGGUAGAUGUUGUCACGCUUGCCUCGGAAGCGAGCGCCUCUUCUCAGUACAUGCUGGAGACCGUGCGGGACAUGGUCGCCAGUUUC